UUCCAUGAAGAAACUCCAUUUAAACACACACAUGUAUACAUUUCUCACUGCUUUGUGGAAAGCCCAAGAAUGAUAGAUAUAUCUUGGUUUUACUGUAUGCAGCUGCGUAGCCCUGGAAUGUUGGCUUCCAAUCAACCCAGAGUCCAAGAGAAACGCAGCUGCAAUCACCGAAUGUUGCAUAAUUUCUACCAAAAAUCAUAACUGGACCUCAGUCUAUUUAAAGCUCCUCUCUCAGGCUUGCUGAAGUUCUGCCCUGGAGCCCAGUGAAAAGUCUCAUUAAACUUCGCAACCUUUUGGUGGAAGAACCUUGUUUUGUCUGAGUUUGGGGUAUGUGAAGAGACCUGAAGCCAGGAAGGAGCAGCCCGGAGAGUUGAGCUGGGAAUGGGGAAACCGUCAUUAAAACGACUCUGCCAUCAUUGCAAAGAAUGUACUGGGAAAAUAUCGACCCGCUGCAUUUCGUGGGGGAGGGGGAAGAAGAAACGAUCCGUCAGCUUGAGCUUGCUGCAGUCAGCAUGAAAAUCCCUCUCUAAAGAAGAUAACAGGAUAAGAAUCCGGAAAACAAAUCUGAACCUUCUUGUCUCUGAUGGGCUGAUCCUGCAUGGUGCUGAGAGCUCUCCUUCCUCACUGACUUCAGUGGGAUCCCUCCACCCCAUGGAAAGAACGUCUCUCUCUCUCCGUGCAGACAAUAGACGGUAAUAUUUAUUUACACAGCGUGAAGGGGUUAUUUAUUAAGAUACGCCUGACAACUGGAUCCAAACUAAUUUCUCUUAAUAAAGGCACUUGUG
This is a long non-coding RNA of Caretta caretta (loggerhead turtle), 785 nucleotides long. RefSeq lists it as uncharacterized. NCBI's taxonomy places the organism in Eukaryota, Metazoa, Chordata, Testudines, Cheloniidae. The record is from RefSeq and is a predicted model, not a curated record.